CAACUAAAACUCAAAGAGAUAACGUUAGCCACUUUUGCAUAUCUUUUUUUAUUAAAAAAAAAAUUAAUUAUUUUUCGCCACCAUCACCUGAACGCUCAGUCCUCUCUCUCCUUCAAAGCAAAUCGGUUCCCCAUCUCUCUCUUUUGUUACAGACCCUUUCCCCCUUUAUUCUAUCGUUUUCAGCCCCAACCAAUGCCACCUCCGCCGGUCCCACCCAAAUUUUAAUCAAUUAAACACAAAUUUUUUUAAUUUGUUUGUUGAAAUUUUCUGGCAGAUAUUGCUUCCUACAGUUGUGAUCGAUGUUGUUGUUAAUAGCAGUUAGGACGCAAGUCGAUUCACCCUGCACAGGCACAGUCGUAUAUCCGGGAGGGAAGGAAUGCUUGUGGAAGUGGGCAAAGGAAUUCCCACCCUAAUUUCCAACAAGUUUUAGAAUUAUUGUUGGCAAAGGGAGAGUAUUUGGCUUUUGCACCAGAUACAGAAGAGACGAAGACAAUGAUUAACUUAAUGUCAAUGAAAUUUCCCUUAUUGAAGAAGGAAAUGGGAGGACGGAUGUAAGCAAGGGUAAGCAGGAAAAUGAAAAGAAAACCAAGAACUAAAAAUGAAGGAGAAGACAAAAGUUAUUUCAACUUUGCUAUGUGGAGUAUAUGGAAGAGCAGAAAUUCAUGUCUUUAAUAGGAAAAAUCCAAAUCCAAAUCUGCCUAUGGAGAUCUACAACCAAACAUUAGAGUUUAUGUAUUGUGUGACUUCACCACGAAAUCCAGUCCGCAAAACUAGCAAAAGAAUCUGUUGGGAGAAACCUCCAUCAGGGUGGAAGAAGUUGAACACCGAUGGAUCGUCUAUAGGUUGUAUGGAGCAAAUUGGAUGUGGAGGUGUAAUUAGGGAUGAGCAUGGAAAUUGGGUUGUAGGAUUCCUAAGACACGCUGAGCAACUAACAACUUUACUGCUGAACUUUGGGAGCUUAGGGAUGGUCUUAUGUUGUGUUGUAACUUGAAUAUACCCUGCCUUAUUUGUCUUAACAAUUUUUCCAACACCAUAGUCUUGUUCAACCAAAUGACUACAACAGAUAGAUUCCUACAUUCUACAUUUUAACAAAUUUACGUCAAUGACAUGUUUAUCUUAUUAUUUCAA
Molecule: long non-coding RNA, 1128 nt
Organism: Quercus lobata
Lineage: Eukaryota; Viridiplantae; Streptophyta; Magnoliopsida; Fagales; Fagaceae
Exons: 3
Source: RefSeq, a predicted model, not a curated record